RNAcentral lists this ribosomal RNA (1928 nucleotides) under Bacteroidales bacterium. RNAcentral describes it as "partial 23S ribosomal RNA". It matches the Rfam family "Bacterial large subunit ribosomal RNA", at positions 1 to 1945 of the family's 2925-position model. The record is from RNAcentral. Lineage: Bacteria; Pseudomonadati; Bacteroidota; Bacteroidia; Bacteroidales.
AGAGAAGUUACUAAGAGUAUACGGGGGAUGCCUAGGCUCUUGGAGGCGAAGAAGGACGUGACAAGCUGCGAAAAGCCACGGGGAUUGGCAAAUACGAAUAGAUCCGUGGAUAUCCGAAUGGGGCAACCCGAUAAGUUGAAGACUUAUCACCGCGGAAAGCGGGGCGAACGUGGGGAACUGAAACAUCUAAGUACCCAUAGGAAGAGAAAAUAACAAUGAUUUCGGGAGUAGUGGUGAGCGAAACUGAAAGAGCCCAAACCAAUUUUGUUACGGCAAGAUUGGGGUUGAAGGACUACGACAUUGCAAGAGACUAUAUAUAAGAAUCAUUUGGGAAGAUGAACCGAAGAAGGUGAUAGUCCUGUAUUAGAAAUGUAGAUUGAAGCAUAGUAGAAUCCUGAGUAAGGCGGGACCGGAGGAAUCCUGUCUGAAUCUACCGGCACCAUCCGGUAAGGCUAAAUACUACCAAGAGACCGAUAGUGAACCAGUACUGUGAAGGAAAGGUGAAAAGAACCGUGAACAACGGAGUGCAAUAGAACCUGAAACCGUAUACUUACAAGCGGUCGGAGCCACAAUAAGUGGUGACGGCGUGCCUUUUGCAUAAUGAGCCUACGAGUUAAUGUUGUUAGCGAGGUUAAGAUAUUGAGUAUCGUAGCCGAAGCGAAAGCGAGUCUGAAUAGGGCGCUAUAGUUAACAGCAUUAGACGCGAAACUUAGUGAUCUACCCUUGAGCAGGAUGAAGGUCUGGUAACACAGAGUGGAGGUCCGAACCGGUAGCUGUUGAAAAAGCUUCGGAUGACUUGAGGGUAGGGGUGAAAGGCUAAUCAAACUGAGAGAUAGCUCGUACUCCCCGAAAAGCUUUUAGGAGCUGCCUUGCUUAUAAUUUACAGAGGUAGAGCUACUGAUAGGAUGCGGGGGCUUCACCGCCUACCAAUUCCUGACAAACUCCGAAUGCUGUAAAUGCUGAGAGCAGGAGAAAGGCUAUGGGUGCUAAUGUCCAUAGCCGAGAGGGCAAUAACCCAGACCAUCAGCUAAGGUCCCGGAAUGUAUGCUAAGUUGAAAUAACGCGGUUAGACUGCAGAGACAGCUAGGAUGUUGGCUUGGAAGCAGCCAUUCAUUUAAAGAGUGCGUAACAGCUCACUAGUCGAGCGGUAUAGCAUGGAUAAUAAACGGGCAUAAGCAUACUACCGAAGCUAUGGAAUACGAUGUAUUGGUAGGGGAGCAUUCUAACGACGGAGAAGCAUAUUCGUGAGGAUAUGUGGAGUUUUUAGAAAAGCAAAUGUAGGCAUAAGUAACGAUAAUGCGGGCGAGAAACCCGCACACCGAAAGACCAAGGGUUCCUGAUCAACGAUAAUCGGAUCAGGGUUAGUCUGGACCUAAGUCGUAGCCGAGAGGCGGAGAUAAUGGACAAUCGGUUAAUAUUCCGAUACUGACUAUAACACUGAAGGAAUGACGGAGUAGCGUCCCUGCUGCGUGCUGACGGAAUAGCACGUUGAACAACGAAGGUAUUGGUUACGAGGCAAAUCCCGUAAUUAGCUGAAGUUGGAAAGUACGACGAUCCGUAAGGAGAGUUGACAUGCAGUUAAGCAGACUUCCAAGAAAAGUUUCUAAAGACAUGUUAUAGCCACCAGUACCGUAAACCGACACAGGUGGUCGAGGAGAGAAUCCAAAGGUGCUCGAGUGAUCCGUGGCUAAGGAACUAGGCAAAUUAGUCCUGUAACUUAGGGAGAAAGGACCCCACAGUGAUGUGGGCGCAGAGAAAUGGCCCAGGCGACUGUUUAACAAAAACACAUGGCUUUGCAAAUUUGAAAGAAGAAGUAUAAGGCCUGACACCUGCCCGGUGCUGGAAGGUUAAGGGGGGGCGUAAUCAUGGAAGCAAUGAAGUGUGAAGCGCUGAACUGAAGCCCCAGUAAACGGCGGUCGUAACUAUAA